Molecule: ribosomal RNA, 731 nt
Filed under: uncultured Alphaproteobacteria bacterium
Lineage: Bacteria; Pseudomonadati; Pseudomonadota; Alphaproteobacteria
Description: bacterial SSU rRNA
Rfam family: Bacterial small subunit ribosomal RNA
Source: RNAcentral
UCUGCCUUGUGGUUCAGGACAACAUUGGGAAACCGAUGCUAAUACUGGAUAAGCCCUUACGGGGAAAGUUUUAAUGCCAUAAGAUGAGCCCGCAUUUGAUUAGUUAGUCGGUGAGGUAAUGGCUCACCAAGACAAUGAUCAAUAGCUGAUCUGAGAGGAUGAUCAGCCACACUGGGACUGAGACACGGCCCAGACUCCUACGGGAGGCAGCAGUGGGGAAUCUUGCACAAUGGAGGAAACUCUGAUGCAGCGAUGCCGCGUGAGUGAAGAAGGCCUUUGGGUUGUAAAGCUCUUUUGUAGGGGAAGAUAAUGACUGUACCCUAAGAAUAAGGUCCGGCUAACUUCGUGCCAGCAGCCGCGGUAAUACGAAGGGACCUAGCGUAGUUCGGAAUUACUGGGCGUAAAGCGCGCGUAGGCCGUUGAGUUAGUUAAUUGUGAAAUCCCAAAGCUUAACUUUGGAACUGCAAUUAAAACUGCUCGACUAGAGUUUGAUAGAGGAAAGCGGAAUACAUAGUGUAGAGGUGAAAUUCGUAGAUAUUAUGUAGAACACCAGUUGCGAAGGCGGCUUUCUGGAUCAACACUGACGCUGAGGCGCGAAAGUAUGGGUAGCAAAGAGGAUUAGAUACCCUCGUAGUCCAUACCAUAAACGAUGAUUGCUAGAUGUUGGAAAUUUAUUUUCAGUAUCGCAGCUAACGCAUUAAGCAAUCCGCCUGGGGAGUACGACCGCAAGG